RNAcentral lists this ribosomal RNA (720 nucleotides) under uncultured bacterium. RNAcentral's name for it is "bacterial SSU rRNA". It matches the Rfam family "Bacterial small subunit ribosomal RNA", at positions 413 to 1120 of the family's 1533-position model. The record is from RNAcentral.
GGCCUUCGGGUUGUAAACCCCUGUCAGGCGGAACGAAUCCCCCGAGGACGAAUACUCCUCGGGGUUGACGGUACCGCCAGAGGAAGCCCCGGCUAACUACGUGCCAGCAGCCGCGGUAAUACGUAGGGGGCGAGCGUUGCUCGGAUUUACUGGGCGUAAAGAGCGCGUAGGCGGCCAGGAAAGUCCGGUGUGAAAACCCUCGGCUCAACCGAGGACCCGCAUCGGAAACUCCCUGGCUUGAGUCCAGGAGGGGAGGGUGGAAUUCCCGGUGUAGCGGUGAAAUGCGUAGAGAUCGGGAGGAACACCAGUGGCGAAGGCGGCCCUCUGGAAUGGUACUGACGCUGAGGCGCGAAAGCUGGGGGAGCGAACGGGAUUAGAUACCCCGGUAGUCCCAGCCGUAAACGAUGGGCGCUAGGUGUGGGAGGUAUUGACCCCUUCCGUGCCGCAGCUAACGCAUUAAGCGCCCCGCCUGGGGAGUACGACCGCAAGGUUGAAACUCAAAGGAAUUGACGGGGGCCCGCACAAGCGGUGGAGCAUGUGGUUUAAUUCGACGCAACGCGAAGAACCUUACCAGGGCUUGACAUGCCGGUGGUACCGACCCGAAAGGGAAGGGAUCCCGCAAGGGAAGCCGGCACAGGUGGUGCAUGGCUGUCGUCAGCUCGUGUCGUGAGAUGUUGGGUUAAGUCCCGCAACGAGCGCAACCCUCACCCUCUGUUGCCA